RNAcentral lists this ribosomal RNA (468 nucleotides) under uncultured bacterium. Its description in RNAcentral is "partial 16S ribosomal RNA". It matches the Rfam family "Bacterial small subunit ribosomal RNA", at positions 28 to 507 of the family's 1533-position model. The record is from RNAcentral.
GACGAACGCUGGCGGCGUGCUUAACACAUGCAAGUCGAACGGAAAGGCCCUGCUUUUGUGGGGUGCUCGAGUGGCGAACGGGUGAGUAACACGUGAGUAACCUGCCCUUGACUGUGGGAUAACUUCAGGAAACUGGGGCUAAUACCGGAUAGGAGCUCCUGCUGCAUGGUGGGGGUUGGAAAGUUUCGGCGGUUGGGGAUGGACUCGCGGCUUAUCAGCUUGUUGGUGGGGUAGUGGCUUACCAAGGCUUUGACGGGUAGCCGGCCUGAGAGGGUGACCGGCCACAUUGGGACUGAGAUACGGCCCAGAAUCGUACGGGAGGCAGCAGUGGGGAAUAUUGCACAAUGGGCGGAAGCCUGAUGCAGCAACGCCGCGUGCGGGAUGCCGUCCUUCGGGUUGUAAACCGCUUUCGCCUGUGACGAAGCGUGAGUGACGGUAAUGGGUAAAGAAGCACCGGCUAACUACGUG